RNAcentral lists this ribosomal RNA (253 nucleotides) under uncultured bacterium. RNAcentral's name for it is "partial 16S ribosomal RNA". It matches the Rfam family "Bacterial small subunit ribosomal RNA", at positions 524 to 776 of the family's 1533-position model. The record is from RNAcentral.
UACGUAGGGUGCAAGCGUUAAUCGGAAUUACUGGGCGUAAAGCGUGCGCAGGCGGUUAUGUAAGACAGAUGUGAAAUCCCCGAGCUCAACCUGGGAACUGCAUUUGUGACUGCAUCGCUGGAGUGCGGCAGAGGGGGAUGGAAUUCCGCGUGUAGCAGUGAAAUGCGUAGAUAUGCGGAGGAACACCGAUGGCGAAGGCAAGCCCCUGGGCCUGCACUGACGCUCAUGCACGAAAGCGUGGGGAGCAAACAGG